This 672-nucleotide ribosomal RNA is filed under the name uncultured Clostridium sp. RNAcentral describes it as "bacterial SSU rRNA". It matches the Rfam family "Bacterial small subunit ribosomal RNA", at positions 56 to 756 of the family's 1533-position model. Lineage: Bacteria; Bacillati; Bacillota; Clostridia; Eubacteriales; Clostridiaceae. The record is from RNAcentral.
UGCAAGUCGAGCGAUUUUCUUCGGAGAAGAGCGGCGGACGGGUGAGUAACGCGUGGGUAACCUGCCCUGUACACACGGAUAACAUACCGAAAGGUAUGCUAAUACGAGAUAAUAUACUUUUAUCGCAUGGUAGAAGUAUCAAAGCUUUUGCGGUACAGGAUGGACCCGCGUCUGAUUAGCUAGUUGGUAAGGUAACGGCUUACCAAGGCGACGAUCAGUAGCCGACCUGAGAGGGUGAUCGGCCACAUUGGAACUGAGACACGGUCCAAACUCCUACGGGAGGCAGCAGUGGGGAAUAUUGCACAAUGGGCGAAAGCCUGAUGCAGCAACGCCGCGUGAGCGAUGAAGGCCUUCGGGUCGUAAAGCUCUGUCCUCAAGGAAGAUAAUGACGGUACUUGAGGAGGAAGCCCCGGCUAACUACGUGCCAGCAGCCGCGGUAAUACGUAGGGGGCUAGCGUUAUCCGGAAUUACUGGGCGUAAAGGGUGCGUAGGUGGUUUCUUAAGUCAGAGGUGAAAGGCUACGGCUCAACCGUAGUAAGCCUUUGAAACUGAGAAACUUGAGUGCAGGAGAGGAGAGUGGAAUUCCUAGUGUAGCGGUGAAAUGCGUAGAUAUUAGGAGGAACACCAGUUGCGAAGGCGGCUCUCUGGACUGUAUCUGACACUGAGGCACGA